GGCCGUGUGGCGCAACGGUAGCGCGUUACUUUCCGGUAUAAUGCAGCUUCAAAUCUUCAGUUGGUAAAGGCUCUGGGUUCGAGUCCCAGCAUGGUCG
This is a non-coding RNA of Cladorrhinum samala, 97 nucleotides long. The record is from the annotation of a GenBank genome assembly. NCBI's taxonomy places the organism in Eukaryota, Fungi, Ascomycota, Sordariomycetes, Sordariales, Podosporaceae.